AUUGAACGCUGGCGGCAUGCCUUACACAUGCAAGUCGAACGGUAACAGGUCUUCGGAUGCUGACGAGUGGCGAACGGGCGAGUAAUACAUCGGAACGUGCCUAGUAGUGGGGGAUAACUACUCGAAAGAGUGGCUAAUACCGCAUGAGAUCUACGGAUGAAAGCAGGGGAUCGCAAGACCUUGUGCUACUAGAGCGGCCGAUGGCAGAUUAGGUAGUUGGUGGGAUAAAAGCUUACCAAGCCGACGAUCUGUAGCUGGUCUGAGAGGACGAUCAGCCACACUGGGACUGAGACACGGCCCAGACUCCUACGGGAGGCAGCAGUGGGGAAUUUUGGACAAUGGGCGCAAGCCUGAUCCAGCAAUGCCGCGUGCAGGAUGAAGGCCUUCGGGUUGUAAACUGCUUUUGUACGGAACGAAAAGCCCCGGGUUAAUACCCUGGGGUCAUGACGGUACCGUAAGAAUAAGCACCGGCUAACUACGUGCCAGCCGCCGGCGUAA
Molecule: ribosomal RNA, 498 nt
Filed under: uncultured bacterium
Lineage: Bacteria
Description: partial 16S ribosomal RNA
Rfam family: Bacterial small subunit ribosomal RNA
Source: RNAcentral